Molecule: ribosomal RNA, 428 nt
Filed under: uncultured bacterium
Lineage: Bacteria
Description: partial 16S ribosomal RNA
Rfam family: Bacterial small subunit ribosomal RNA
Source: RNAcentral
GUGGGGAAUAUUGGGCAAUGGGCGAAAGCCUGACCCAGCAACGCCGCGUGAGGGAAGAAGGCCUUCGGGUUGUAAACCUCUGUCCUUGGUGACGAAGAAAGUGACGGUAGCCAAGGAGGAAGCCCCGGCUAACUACGUGCCAGCAGCCGCGGUAAUACGUAGGGGGCGAGCGUUGUCCGGAAUUACUGGGCGUAAAGGGUGCGUAGGUGGCCUUUUAAGUUGGAUGUGAAAUACCCGGGCUUAACUUGGGGGGUGCAUCUAAUACUGGGAGGCUAGAGUGCAGGAGAGGGAAGCGGAAUUCCUAGUGUAGCGGUGAAAUGCGUAGAUAUUAGGAGGAACACCAGUGGCGAAGGCGGCUUUCUGGACUGUAACUGACACUGAGGCACGAAAGCGUGGGGAGCAAACAGGAUUAGAUACCCUGGUAGUCC